Small nuclear RNA from Octodon degus (degu), 187 nucleotides. RefSeq annotates it as U2 spliceosomal RNA. NCBI's taxonomy places the organism in Eukaryota, Metazoa, Chordata, Mammalia, Rodentia, Octodontidae. The record is from RefSeq and is a predicted model, not a curated record. The transcript has a single exon.
AUCGCUUCUUGGCUCGGCUAAGAGCACAUGUAGUGUCCGUUCUUAUCAGUUUAAUAUCUGAUGCGUCCUCUAUCCAAAUGCCCUCUUCACAAGGCUGAAGUCCUGGCUGCUUUCAUCAACUUCAUCAUCUUGCCUUCUUCAUGUGGAUUUUGCUCUUCAAGUCACAGAGAAAUUGGAUGUAACUUUA